Molecule: long non-coding RNA, 511 nt
Filed under: Helianthus annuus (common sunflower)
Lineage: Eukaryota; Viridiplantae; Streptophyta; Magnoliopsida; Asterales; Asteraceae
Source: RNAcentral
UUUUGUUUCCCCUCUUUGAUGUGACUCCAAUCCCGCCCUUCGCUCAUUUCCCUCCUCCCCUUCCAUUACGAUUUCACGCUUCUUCAGUUUUUCAUCUACGAUUCUUCAUUUUCGCAUGGGUUUUUAUUUAAAGUUAGGUUGACAACAUGAAGGAGCGAGGAUGUUGAUGAAGUUUGAGACGAAGAUGUUCGCGAAUAAGGUUUAUUUUUCCAAUUUAGGGUAACAGUUUGUAACCAAUUUAUUCAUUUAUAACCUCCAUUUUGGGUAACAAUUUUAGUUUUAUAGUUCUACCAGUUAAUUGAUGUCAUGUUGAAAUGUAAGAUGGAUAAAUAAUUACUAUUAAUCUUAAAUUACGGCUAUUUAAAAUGGCCUUCACAAAUCAGAGCCUAGCUGAUUAAAAAUGUUAGAUAAUCUUGGUUGUUUUGUUAAAAUCUAAACUGUUAUCUGAACCAAUAGACAAGAAGACAGAGGCUGGAAUCAUUAUUUAAUGCAUAGACAAGUCUCUUAUUGU